CCUACGGGCUGCACCAGUGGGGAAUAUUGGGCAAUGGGCGAAAGCCUGACCCAGCCAUGCCGCGUGUGUGAAGAAGGUCCUCGGAUUGUAAAGCACUUUAAGUUGGGAGGAAGGAUUGUAGAUUAAUACUCUGCAAUUUCGACGUUACCGACAGAAUAAGCACCGGCUAACUCUGUGCCAGCAGCCGCGGUAAUACAGAGGGUGCAAGCGUUAAUCGGAAUUACAGGGCGUAAAGCGCGCGUAGGUGGUUUGUUAAGUUGGAUGUGAAAUCCCCGGGCUCAACCUGGGAACUGCAUCCAAAACUGGCAAGCUAGAGUAUGGUAGAGGGUGGUGGAAUUUCCUGUGUAGCGGUGAAAUGCGUAGAUAUAGGAAGGAACACCAGUGGCGAAGGCGACCACCUGGACUGAUACUGACACUGAGGUGCGAAAGCGUGGGGAGCAAACAGGAUUAGAUACCCGUGUAGUC
RNAcentral lists this ribosomal RNA (465 nucleotides) under uncultured bacterium. Its description in RNAcentral is "bacterial SSU rRNA". It matches the Rfam family "Bacterial small subunit ribosomal RNA", at positions 338 to 795 of the family's 1533-position model. The record is from RNAcentral.